UUGGAUUGUAAACCCCUUUUCUCAGGGAAGAAGAAAGUGACGGUACCUGAGGAAUCAGCCUCGGCUAACUCCGUGCCAGCAGCCGCGGUAAUACGGAGGAGGCAAGCGUUAUCCGGAAUGAUUGGGCGUAAAGCGUCCGUAGGUGGCAAUUCAAGUCUGCUGUCAAAGACUGGAGCUUAACUCCGGAAAGGCAGUGGAAACUGAAUAGCUAGAGUGCGGUAGGGGCAGAGGGAAUUCCUGGUGUAGCGGUGAAAUGCGUAGAGAUCAGGAAGAACACCGGUGGCGAAAGCGCUCUGCUGGGCCGCAACUGACACUGAGGGACGAAAGCUAGGGGAGCGAAUGGGAUUAGAUACCCCAGUAGUCCUAGCUGUAAACGAUGGAGACUAGGUGUUGCCUGUAUCGACCCGGGCAGUGCCGAAGCCAACGCGUUAAGUCUCCCGCCUGGGGAGUACGCACGCAAGUGUGAAACUCAAAGGAAUUGACGGGGGCCCGCACAAGCGGUGGAGUAUGUGGUUUAAUUCGAUGCAACGCGAAGAACCUUACCAGGGCUUGACAUGUCCGGAAGCUCGGGGAAACCUGAGUGUGCCUUCGGGAACCGGAACACAGGUGGUGCAUGGCUGUCGUCAGCUCGUGUCGUGAGAUGUUGGGUUAAGUCCCGCAACGAGCGCAACCCUCGUCCUUAGUUGCCAGCAUUAAGUUGGGCACUCUAGGGAGACUGCCGGUGACAAACCGGAGGAAGGUGGGGAUGACGUCAAGUCAUCAUGCCCCUUACGCCCUGGGCUACACACGUACUACAAUGGGGAGGACAAAGGGUAGCGACUCUGCGAAAAGAAGCCAAUCUCAGAAACCUCUCCUCAGUUCAGAUUGCAGGCUGCAACUCGCCUGCAUGAAGGAGGAAUCGCUAGUAAUCGCAGGUCAGCAUACUGCGGUGAAUCCGUUCCCGGGCCUUGUACACACCGCCCGUCACACCAUGGAAGUUAACCAUGCCCGAAGUCAUUACUCUAACCCAAAUGGGAGGGGGAUGCCGAAGGCAGGG
This 1036-nucleotide ribosomal RNA is filed under the name Affixifilum floridanum BLCC-M61. RNAcentral describes it as "bacterial SSU rRNA". It matches the Rfam family "Bacterial small subunit ribosomal RNA", at positions 418 to 1467 of the family's 1533-position model. The record is from RNAcentral. Lineage: Bacteria; Bacillati; Cyanobacteriota; Cyanophyceae; Oscillatoriales; Sirenicapillariaceae. RNAcentral also lists the same sequence under 1 other name.